Apis florea (little honeybee) is the source of this 252-nucleotide long non-coding RNA. RefSeq lists it as uncharacterized. Lineage: Eukaryota; Metazoa; Arthropoda; Insecta; Hymenoptera; Apidae. The record is from RefSeq and is a predicted model, not a curated record.
AUAGAAUUAACAUGAGAAUAUUUCUGUAAACAAAAAUUUUAUUAUUUUUUCAAAGAGAAUAUUUUAUGAUUCGAAGUUUGAAUUGCAAUUGUUUGGAAUAAAAAAUAAAAUUAUUUACUAUGUUUAAUCAUAUUUGGAUUCUUGUAGAUGCGCUGGUGGACUCGACACUCGACAUGGUUUCCAAACGAGACGAGGAAUGGAGUUCGAACAAUGGAGGCAGAUAUUGAUAGAUAUUAAACGCAAAAAAAAAAA